AUGCUUCUACUUUCUGUAUGGAGCUGGGAGCGUCUGCCUGUUGGACGCCCGAAGAGCGUCAGGUUUAAUCCUUGGUAUCAAGAUGAAGAUGACGAAUUACAGCUCCCCACUUGGGCUUACAAGUGGGAUGUGGUUUCCGAGAUGACGAACGAUGUCAAUCUCAUGUACCAGAAGUACGUUGCCGAGUUGGACACGAUUACGCCUGAGCAGGUGGAAUGGCAGCCAUAUGGCGCCGAUGAUAGACUUGGGUACACCCCGGAGUUUACCAUCAACCCGAUGUGCUUGCGGGAUAGGGAUCUCUGGCUUAUGCGGUGCCCACUGAUAUGCAACUGGGCUGUUGAGUUUCAUUUUCCACAUCGCGUGUUUCGUCAGUUCGGUCUGUUCCAGCCUCACCCGCCAGAAUGGGUGGAUACGGACAAGGCACUUCAUAGGUUGGAUAGGAGAAAGCAGCGCAAGAUAAAGGACUGGGACAAGCAUCAUGCUUCGUAUGUCACCCGCUUUCAGCUUUGCGUGGAGCAAGCUCGUAGCACUGCACGUGCCCAGCUUCAUGAGCAUAACCCAGUUGCGUUUGAUAACUACAUACGAUGGCUUCUUGAAAAUACUCGAGUUGAGAUAUGCCCGCCGGCAUAUAAUGAGGAUAUUCUUGAAGAACCCAUAAACUUUGAGGAUCUAUCAAAGGGGAAGUACAACAUAGAUGUCAAGUUAGGGCAAGGAGUCCCUACUGUUCCGGUGAUUAACUAUGUGCGCACCGAGAUCAAGAAAGCUGCUGAUGAGAGCCAGAAUAUUUUGGAGAACACACCGGUUGCAAAAGGCAAUGAUGAUGGUUCACUACGAGCAUUCCUCAAGCGUCAGGCCAGGAAGUUAAGGCGGUUAUCGAAUCUUCUCGGUUGCCGUGAUCCCGAAUAUGAUGAACCAUCUGCCUCUAGGUCUGGUACACCAUCAGACCCCUCAUCUCACCAUCAGGGGGACGAUGUCAGUUCCUCAUAUGCUUAUAUGGAUGAUGAGGGGUGA
Molecule: ribosomal RNA, 1011 nt
Filed under: Triticum aestivum (bread wheat)
Lineage: Eukaryota; Viridiplantae; Streptophyta; Magnoliopsida; Poales; Poaceae
Description: partial small subunit ribosomal RNA
Source: RNAcentral